This 539-nucleotide long non-coding RNA is filed under the name Monodelphis domestica (gray short-tailed opossum). RNAcentral's name for it is "lncRNA (ENSMODG00000043654.1)". Lineage: Eukaryota; Metazoa; Chordata; Mammalia; Didelphimorphia; Didelphidae. The record is from RNAcentral.
GAGGUAUUAUCCUCAUCUCCAUUUUACAGAUGAGGAAACUGAGGUUGAAAGAUAUUAAAGUGACUUGUCAAGGAUCACAUAGCUGGUCAAUAUCUGAGACUGAAUUUGAACUCUGGCCUUCUUGUUUCUAGGACUAAUGCUCUAUCCACUGUAUAUGUCAGUCUGAGAAAUAUGGGGAAACUUUCUGGGUGGACCUAGAAAGCCAACUGCUGCAGAGGGCCUUCAAGGAUCUGAAACAAUAAGAAAUUCUUGGUUCAUUUUUCUCAAAAAUAAAGGUGUCCUCCAAGAAUGGAUGUCAUGGACUCUUACCAUCAGAAUGAGAUAGGAGGAAACUCUUCUUCUACUAUUAAAGGAUGCCUGGCUUUAACUACAGCUGGAAAGCAAAUAAGGUACAUUAUGAAGAGCCCUUCAAAGUCUUUUAGUCUCAGGAAUAUUCAAAUACAUUUAAUUCAUCAGUAAUUGAAGACUUCCUUCACUAGAGACAUGUCUAGAAUAGGCCCAAUGUCUAAUUAGCUCAAGGAACCUGGUUUUUUCCCUCA